This 25-nucleotide unclassified non-coding RNA is filed under the name Mus musculus (house mouse). RNAcentral's name for it is "oocyte_clustered_small_RNA6376". Lineage: Eukaryota; Metazoa; Chordata; Mammalia; Rodentia; Muridae. The record is from RNAcentral.
CACGGCAGAGCUUGAUACUGGAACU